RNAcentral lists this ribosomal RNA (552 nucleotides) under uncultured archaeon. RNAcentral's name for it is "bacterial SSU rRNA". It matches the Rfam family "Archaeal small subunit ribosomal RNA", at positions 325 to 879 of the family's 1478-position model. The record is from RNAcentral.
ACGGGGUGCAGCAGGCGCGAAAACUCCGCAAUGCACGAAAGUGUGACGGGGCUACCCCGAGUGCUCUCCGCUGAGGAAAGCUUUUCCUUGGUAUAACUAGCCAGGGGAAUAAGGAGAGGGCAAGACUGGUGUCAGCCGCCGCGGUAAUACCAGCUCUCCGAGUGGUAGGGAUGAUUAUUGGGCUUAAAGCGUCCGUAGCCGGCUUAGCAAGUCUCCUGUUAAACCCAGCGACUUAAUCGUUGAAUCGCGGGAGAUACUACUAGGCUAGGAGGCGGGAGAGGUCGACGGUACUUCCGGGGUAGGGGUGAAAUCCUAUAAUCCCGGGAGGACCACCAGUGGCGAAGGCUGUCGACUAGAACGCGCUCGACGGUGAGGGACGAAAGCUGGGGGAGCGAACCGGAUUAGAUACCCGGGUAGUCCCAGCUGUAAACGAUGCAGGCUAGGUGUUUGGACGGCCACGUGCCGUUCUAGUGCCGCAGGGAAGCUGUUAAGCCUGCCGCCUGGGGAGUACGAUCGCAAGAUUGAAACUUAAAGGAAUUGGCGGGGGAGCAC